GUCCUGAUGGUGGGAGAGUCUACAAAUAUCACAUCAGCAUCUGCCCCAGUACCUGCUCCACCGCCUGCCCACUAUAUGAGGUCAUAUUUCCUCGGCCCUACAUCCUUUCAUAUUCGGACGCACCUCCGUAAUAUGUACUUCUUCUUCCCUGUGAUCGGCGGUGUGUGGAGCUACACGGGGCAAAAGAAGUUUACAGAAGUUUAAAGAAGAUUACAUACAGAGGAAUUCUCUGUAUGGAGGAGUGGGCCAACAUCCCUGCUGCAGUGUGUGGCAACUUGGUCACGAACUACAAGAAACCUCUGUAAAGUUUUCUGUACCAAAUAUGAACUUCUGUUUUUUUUUUCUGUUAUUUAAAAAUGAAUUAAUGCUUAAUUAUUACUAUACUUUCUUAUGAUGACAUUCAUUUUAUUUUAUAUAAUCCACAAUAAUAAUAAUAAAAAUAACGUUCUUUCCAGCA
Long non-coding RNA from Trichomycterus rosablanca, 457 nucleotides. RefSeq lists it as uncharacterized. The transcript has 2 exons. Lineage: Eukaryota; Metazoa; Chordata; Actinopteri; Siluriformes; Trichomycteridae. The record is from RefSeq and is a predicted model, not a curated record.